AACACCCCGCACGGCGGAGCCCGGUCUGGAUCGAGGGGGGGGAUCCAUCGAGCCCGAGCUCCCAUCGCAUCACCGCGGCCCCCGCUUGCGCCAGAGCUGCCCCUGCUCGCACCGCCGCGGCCUCUGCUCGUGGCCUCCACCGCCUCCUUCGGGGCCUCUGCACAACGGAAGCGCCUCCCUCCCCCCUCUCCCCGUCCCUGCCGUUGGCCGCCUCCUCUCCGCGGCGCUCCUCCUGCCCGGCUCACCGGAGCGCCUCCCGUUCCCCCCACUCGCGGAGCACCUCGCCUCCCUCCCCACGCUCACCCUGGCCUUCGCCCUGCUCACCGCGCUCCGCCACCACCCCGUCCGCACCCCGUCCGCCCCUCGCCGCUCCCGCUCGCCACCCCGCUCCUCGGCCACCUCCUCGCGAUGCGCCGCGCCCGCGAGGCCGCUUUCGUGCUCCGCUGGCUCUGCCGCCCCGACUCCCCGCGCCGGCCCGACACCGCCACCUACGGCAUCGCCGUCGGCGGGUUCUGCAGGUUCGGGGACCCUAGGAGCGCGCUCGUCGCCCUCGGCGAGAUGGCCUCCGGCGGGGUUCCGCCCUCACUGGAGCUGCAGGAGGCGGUGCGGGAUGCGAUGCUGCAAGACGCGAGGAUCGAGGAGGCGUGGGCGCUGGAGGAGGCUAUGCAGCCGCCGGAGUCCAAGAAGACGGGAACCAAGGCGGCGCGUCAAGAGAGAGAGCUU
Molecule: ribosomal RNA, 723 nt
Filed under: Triticum aestivum (bread wheat)
Lineage: Eukaryota; Viridiplantae; Streptophyta; Magnoliopsida; Poales; Poaceae
Description: partial small subunit ribosomal RNA
Source: RNAcentral